AGCUGUUUAUGCGUACGCUUUUUCCCUGCUCAAGUACAGGAAAUUGAAGAAUUAACCAGAUGUGAUAUGCUGAAAGAGGGAAGUUUUCUUCCUUGAACGUGGCCUUGUGAUUUGUCUUGGAAGGAAUAGGAUGAUCACUGGCAAGAACCCUAUCAAGGUAGAUUUUAUGGUGCUAACGUAUUAUUAAGCAUUUUGUUACAUCAGCAAUGAUGCUUUCAUAGCAUGAAAGGGUUUAAAUUUAACUGAAUGAUUCUGAUUAAUCAAUUAUGAGUUUGAAUCGAGUAAAAACUAAAUACAAUCAUCGUUAACAAUACUGAAAAAAUUUAACUGAAUCAUCGUUAAUUGAGUAAAUAGGAUCUUGAUAUUGAAGAAUUUGAAAUCACAACGCACACAGGAAAUUGAAGAAUUUGAAAUACAAUCAUCGUUAACAAUAUAAGAUGAGUGUUUGUUUGAACAAAGUUGUUGCCAAUCUUGCCGAGUUCGAAAAAAAAGAUCACGGAGCAAAUGCCACUGAUUUCUUCAUCAUUGUAGCCUCCAUAGUUGAAGUUUCCUCAUGUGAAGCUGUACAUCAAGUACAGGAAAUUGAAGAAUUAACCAGAUGUGAUAUGCUGAAAGAGGGAAGUUUUCUCCCUUGAAUGUGGCCUUUGUGAUUUGUCUUGAAGGAAUAGGAUGAUCACCGGCAAGAACCCUAUCAAGGUAGAUUUUAUGAUGUUAACAUAUUAUUAAGCAUUUUGUUACAUCAGCAAUGAUGCUUUCAUAGCAUGAAAGUGUUUAAAUUUAACUGAAUGAUCUUGAUU
Molecule: long non-coding RNA, 797 nt
Filed under: Citrus maxima (pomelo)
Lineage: Eukaryota; Viridiplantae; Streptophyta; Magnoliopsida; Sapindales; Rutaceae
Description: long non-coding RNA (CMAX_LNC001470)
Source: RNAcentral